UACGUAGGGUGCGAGCGUUAAUCGGAAUUACUGGGCGUAAAGCGUGCGCAGGCGGUUUUGUAAGUCUGACGUGAAAUCCCCGGGCUCAACCUGGGAAUUGCGUUGGAGACUGCAAGGCUGGAAUCUGGCAGAGGGGGGUAGAAUUCCACGUGUAGCAGUGAAAUGCGUAGAGAUGUGGAGGAACACCGAUGGCGAAGGCAGCCCCCUGGGUCAAGAUUGACGCUCAUGCACGAAAGCGUGGGGAGCAAACAGG
RNAcentral lists this ribosomal RNA (253 nucleotides) under uncultured bacterium. RNAcentral's name for it is "partial 16S ribosomal RNA". It matches the Rfam family "Bacterial small subunit ribosomal RNA", at positions 524 to 776 of the family's 1533-position model. The record is from RNAcentral.